GACGAACGCUGGCGGCGUGCUUAACACAUGCAAGUCGAACGGAAAGGCCCCUUCGGGGUUACACGAGUGGCGAACGGGUGAGUAAGACGUGCGCAAGCUGCCCUUACCUGUGGGAUAACUGUCGGAAACAGAUGCUAAUACUGAAUAUACAUCGUCUCCUUCCGCGGGGGGGGUGGAAGUCUCCGGCGGUGGGGGAUGGGCUCGCGGCGGAUCAGCUUGUUGGUGAGGUAGUGGCUCACCAAGGCGUCGACGGGUAGCCGGCCUGAGAGGGGGACCGGCCACACUGGGACUGAGAUACGGCCCAGACUCCUACGGGAGGCAGCAGUGGGGAAUAUUGCACAAUGGGCGCAAGCCUGAUGCAGCAACGCCGCGUGCGGGAUGACGGCCUUCGGGUUGUAAACCGCUUUCAGUUGAGACGAAGGGUGACUGACGGUACCUACAGAAGAAGCACCGGCUAACUACGUG
RNAcentral lists this ribosomal RNA (465 nucleotides) under uncultured bacterium. RNAcentral's name for it is "partial 16S ribosomal RNA". It matches the Rfam family "Bacterial small subunit ribosomal RNA", at positions 28 to 507 of the family's 1533-position model. The record is from RNAcentral.